The sequence is a ribosomal RNA, 402 nucleotides long. It matches the Rfam family "Bacterial small subunit ribosomal RNA", at positions 355 to 774 of the family's 1533-position model.
UGGGGAAUAUUGCACAAUGGGCGAAAGCCUGAUGCAGCGACGCCGCGUGAGGGAAGACGGUUUUCGGAUUGUAAACCUCUGUCUUUAGUGAAGAUAAUGACGGUAACUAAAGAGGAAGCCACGGCUAACUACGUGCCAGCAGCCGCGGUAAUACGUAGGUGGCAAGCGUUGUCCGGAAUUACUGGGUGUAAAGGGAGCGUAGGCGGGAAUGUAAGUUGAAUGUGAAAUUUAUGGGCUCAACCCAUAAACUGCGUUCAAAACUACAUUUCUUGAGUUAAGUAGAGGCAGGCGGAAUUCCCUGUGUAGCGGUGAAAUGCGCAGAUAUAGGGAGGAACACCAGUGGCGAAGGCGGCCUGCUGGGCUUGUACUGACGCUGAGGCUCGAAAGCGUGGGGAGCAAACA